Molecule: ribosomal RNA, 494 nt
Filed under: uncultured bacterium
Lineage: Bacteria
Description: bacterial SSU rRNA
Rfam family: Bacterial small subunit ribosomal RNA
Source: RNAcentral
CGCUGGCGGCAGGCUUACACAUGCAAGUCGAACGCUCGUAGCAAUACGGGAGUGGCAGACGGGUGAGUAACGCGUGGGAACAUACCCUCCGGUUCGGAAUAGCUCAGGGAAACUUGGAUUAAUACCGGAUACGGCUGAGAGGCGAAAGAUUUAUCGCCGGAGGAUUGGCCCGCGUUCGAUUAGCUAGUUGGUGAGGUAACGGCUCACCAAGGCGAUGAUCGAUAGCUGGUCUGAGAGGAUGAUCAGCCACAUUGGGACUGAGACACGGCCCAAACUCCUACGGGAGGCAGCAGUGGGGAAUAUUGGACAAUGGGCGCAAGCCUGAUCCAGCCAUGCCGCGUGAGUGAUGACGGCCUUAGGGUUGUAAAGCUCUUUCGCUCGGGACGAUNAUGACGGUACCGAGAUAAGAAGCCCCGGCUAACUUCGUGCCAGCAGCCGCGGUAAUACGAAGGGGGCUAGCGUUGUUCGGAAUUACUGGGCGUAAAGCGCGUGUA